Molecule: microRNA, 21 nt
Filed under: Zea mays
Lineage: Eukaryota; Viridiplantae; Streptophyta; Magnoliopsida; Poales; Poaceae
Description: microRNA miR-3102
Source: RNAcentral
UUCAAAGUUCAUGGACCUAAU